Molecule: non-coding RNA, 80 nt
Organism: Cordylochernes scorpioides
Lineage: Eukaryota; Metazoa; Arthropoda; Arachnida; Pseudoscorpiones; Chernetidae
Source: the annotation of a GenBank genome assembly
ACGCCCAAUUUGGAUUUAAACCCAUGACCCUGAGAUUAAGAGUCUCAUACUCUACCGAUCGAGCUAGCCGGAAUUGAGCG